CUGAGAUUUGCGAGUCCAAAAUCAGAAAGCUUUGGGCUGAAAUCUUCAUCGAGCAAGAUGUUUGAUGACUUCAAAUCACGAAAUAUUAUGGGAGGAUCCGUCUGGUCAUGCAGAUAAGUGUCAUGAUGAUCGAAGAGGAUAGGGCAUCAUCUAACACACCAAGAAGAGUGUGCAUUAGAGUCAAUUUUAGACAUAAGUAAGAUUGGAGAAACCGAGGUGACACGAGUAGGACCCCGAACCAUAACCUCAAAUACUACCCCAAUCAUUAUUUUGUAUUUGGUUGUAAAUGUUAAAUAGUAAAUAGUAUUAUUUUGUAUUUGAUUGUAAAUAUAAACUAUUUUCUAAAUAGUUUUUAAUAGCUCUUGUUUGUAUAUUUUUAUUUUCUUAAUGAAUUUUAGUAAAUUUAUUCUUAAGUUUCCAUUUA
This is a long non-coding RNA of Cucurbita moschata (crookneck pumpkin), 424 nucleotides long. RefSeq lists it as uncharacterized. NCBI's taxonomy places the organism in Eukaryota, Viridiplantae, Streptophyta, Magnoliopsida, Cucurbitales, Cucurbitaceae. The transcript is spliced from 2 exons. The record is from RefSeq and is a predicted model, not a curated record.